UCGUAUACUGGGGAAACUCCUUUGUAUACGGCGGAUCUGUCGGCGUGCCCAGGGAACGUGAUAUCCGGGGCGUGACAGUAGUUGUUGUCAUUUCUUACUAAGAAAGUCUUUUCAAGUUACCAUAUUUUUUCUAAUUACAUUUCACAAAUUAAUUUAUUGUAAGCCUUUUCAAGUUACCAUAUUUUUUCUCAAUAUAUUUCACAAAUUAAUUUAUUAUUUGUUACUAUUUAAUGACCCACCAUCUUUCUUUCUAAAACUGCAUCUUAUUUAGUAACUGUCACGGAACAUUAUUUCUAUUAUUUAUAUUUUUAAAAUUUCAUUCAUUCUUAAAAUUACUUCAAGUUAUAUAUACAGUAACUCCUAAAUAAUUUAAUCCUAUAAUUUUGCUCUCGCAGGCGGCGG
RNAcentral lists this long non-coding RNA (402 nucleotides) under Ananas comosus (pineapple). Its description in RNAcentral is "long non-coding RNA (ACOM_LNC040888)". The record is from RNAcentral. Lineage: Eukaryota; Viridiplantae; Streptophyta; Magnoliopsida; Poales; Bromeliaceae.